This 587-nucleotide ribosomal RNA is filed under the name uncultured eukaryote. RNAcentral's name for it is "eukaryotic LSU rRNA". The stretch from base 182 to 335 matches the Rfam family "5.8S ribosomal RNA". The record is from RNAcentral.
AACAAGGUCUCCGUUGGUGAACCAGCGGAGGGAUCAUUAUCGAGUUAUUCAACUCCCAAACCCUAUGUGAACUUACCACUUGUUGCUUCGGCGCGCGCUUCGGCGCCGCCGAGGACACUUAAACUCUUUGUUUUUAUAAGCAUUUCUGAGUGGCUGAAAGGCAAAAAUACAAAUGAAUCAAAACUUUCAACAACGGAUCUCUUGGUUCUGGCAUCGAUGAAGAACGCAGCGAAAUGCGAUAAGUAAUGUGAAUUGCAGAAUUCAGUGAAUCAUCGAAUCUUUGAACGCACAUUGCGCCCGCCAGCAUUCUGGCGGGCAUGCCUGUUCGAGCGUCAUUUCAACCCUCGAGCCCGACUCUUUAGAGGACGGCUCGGCGUUGGGGGACGGCAGACUCCCCCCGGCAUCUCGCCGGGGACGCCGCCCCCGAAAUCUAGUGGCGGCCCUCCGAGGCGACCUCUGCGUAGUAACUUGUUCUCGCACCGGAAAGCUCAGAGCGGCCACGCCGUAAAACCCCAACUUUUUUCAGGUUGACCUCGAAUCAGGUAGGACUACCCAGCUGAAUUUAAGCAUAUCAAUAAGCGGAGGAA